Molecule: transfer RNA, 76 nt
Filed under: Bacillota bacterium
Lineage: Bacteria; Bacillati; Bacillota
Also listed under: 2 other names
Description: tRNA-Lys
Rfam family: tRNA
About the family: Transfer RNA (tRNA) molecules are approximately 80 nucleotides in length. Their secondary structure includes four short double-helical elements and three loops (D, anti-codon, and T loops).
Source: RNAcentral
GACCCAUUAGCUCAGUUGGUAGAGCAUCUGACUUUUAAUCAGGGUGUCUGGCGUUCGAGUCGCCAAUGGGUCACCA